GAUGAAGAACGCAGCGAAAUGCGAUAAGUAAUGUGAAUUGCAGAUUUCAGUGAAUCAUCGAAUCUUUGAACGCACCUUGCGCCUUGUGGUAUUCCACAAGGCAUGCCCGUUUGAGUAUCAUUAAAUCAUCAACUCUAAAACCUUUGUGGUUUUUUUAGAGCUUGGUCUUGAGGGUUUUGCAGGCUUUUUUUUUUUCGAGUCUGCUCCCUUUAAAUGCAUUAGCGAGACUUCCCUAUGCUGAACCGUCUCUUUGACGUGAUAAUUAUCUGCGUCGAAUUUUGGUUCUCGUUGGGCUUGCUUCUAAUCGUCUGUUAAAGACAAAACGGAUUUGGGUGCAUAUAUGCGCCUUUUUCCAAAACCUUUUUUGAUCUCAAAUCGGGUAGGACUACCCGCUGAACUUAAGCAUAUCAAUAAGCGGAGGA
This 422-nucleotide unclassified non-coding RNA is filed under the name soil metagenome. Its description in RNAcentral is "partial contains 5.8S ribosomal RNA, internal transcribed spacer 2, and large subunit ribosomal RNA". The stretch from base 1 to 120 matches the Rfam family "5.8S ribosomal RNA", at positions 35 to 154 of the family's 154-position model. The record is from RNAcentral.